Molecule: ribosomal RNA, 301 nt
Filed under: uncultured bacterium
Lineage: Bacteria
Description: partial 16S ribosomal RNA
Rfam family: Bacterial small subunit ribosomal RNA
Source: RNAcentral
CAGUCGCCACGGUAAUACGUAGGUGGCAAGCGUUGUCCGGAAUUAUUGGGCGUAAAGCGCGCGCAGGCGGAUCAGUCAGUCUGUCUUAAAAGUUCGGGGCUUAACCCCGUGAUGGGAUGGAAACUGCUGAUCUAGAGUAUCGGAGAGGAAAGUGGAAUUCCUAGUGUAGCGGUGAAAUGCGUAGAUAUUAGGAAGAACACCAGUGGCGAAGGCGACUUUCUGGACGAAAACUGACGCUGAGGCGCGAAAGCCAGGGGAGCGAACGGGAUUAGAUACCCCGGUAGUCCCUGUCUCUUAUACA